Molecule: ribosomal RNA, 240 nt
Filed under: Oreamnos americanus (mountain goat)
Lineage: Eukaryota; Metazoa; Chordata; Mammalia; Artiodactyla; Bovidae
Description: partial 12S ribosomal RNA
Source: RNAcentral
CGGCAAUAGCCCGAAACUCAAAGGACUUGGCGGUGCUUUAUACCCCUCUAGAGGAGCCUGUUCUAUAAUCGAUAAACCCCGAUUAACCUCACCAAUCCUUGCUAAUACAGUUUAUAUACCGCCAUCUUCAGCAAACCCUAAAAAGGAACAAAAGUAAGCUCAAUCAUGACACAUAAAGACGUUAGGUCAAGGUGUAACCUAUGGAAUGGGAAGAAAUGGGCUACAUUUUCUACCCAAGAA